Molecule: ribosomal RNA, 483 nt
Filed under: uncultured bacterium
Lineage: Bacteria
Description: bacterial SSU rRNA
Rfam family: Bacterial small subunit ribosomal RNA
Source: RNAcentral
GAGUUUGAUCCUGGCUCAGAAUCAACGCUGGCGGCGUGCCUAACACAUGCAAGUCGCACGAGAAAGGGACUUCGGUCUUGAGUAAAGUGGCGCACGGGUGAGUAACACGUGACUAAUCUACCCUCGAGUGGGGAAUAACUGAGAGAAAUCUUAGCUAAUACCGCAUAACACUUACGAGUCAAAGCAGCAAUGCGCUUGGGGAGGAGGUCGCGGCCGAUUAGCUAGUUGGCGGGGUAAUGGCCCACCAAGGCGAUGAUCGGUAUCCGGCCUGAGAGGGCGCACGGACACACUGGAACUGAAACACGGUCCAGACUCCUACGGGAGGCAGCAGUGGGGAAUUUUGCGCAAUGGGGGAAACCCUGACGCAGCAACGCCGCGUGGAGGAUGAAGUAUCUUGGUACGUAAACUCCUUUCGAUGGGGAAGAUAAUGACGGUACCCAUAGAAGAAGCCCCGGCUAACUUCGUGCCAGCCGCCGCUGUAAU